Long non-coding RNA from Astatotilapia calliptera (eastern happy), 1062 nucleotides. Lineage: Eukaryota; Metazoa; Chordata; Actinopteri; Cichliformes; Cichlidae. The record is from Ensembl.
CUUCUGAAUGUUGGAACACUGAGCUACUAGUUCUUUCACCAUGAGUGUGGACGCUGAGUAUCGAAGAUUCCAGAGGUUUCACAUUCUCUUCAUGUAACCUCUUCCACUGGGGUUACUUGCAUAGUAGCAUUCCAACAACACUCUGCUCUCAUCUCUUCCCCACUUAUACCUUCUUGUUCCAGUAGCCCACUUCUCAUCGGUGUGUCCUGGUUUCUCAACAGCUGAUGUACAUAUUUAUAUGACUGGGCAGCUCAAAUUUUUUUCUGGUAAAAUUACACUUUGGGGAAAAAAAUGUAAUUGGGGAUGGGGGUAAUUUUGCAACAUUACUUUAUUUCCAAGCUUCCAUAGAUUGGGAGUCAUUUUUUUUUUUUUUAGUAUUCAGCUACACAAACAUAAAGUUAUUUCCUCAAAUAUUUUUGUAUUCAUGAAGUCCAGCACAUUUCCACUUCCAUGUUUUAUGGUUGUUACCCUGCAGUCAUUCUGACAGUCUUGCUCAGGUCUAUGCUGAUUUGCAUAUAAGCACAUUGAUUUUGGUUUCAUUUGACCAAAAAUGUGGUUUGAAUACUCAUUCACAUGUUCUCUUCCUUUUUUUUUUUUUUUUUUUGGCAAAGUUUAAUCAUGUAUAUUUGCGAGCAGUCAUUUUCUUUUUGGAUGUCGUCCACAGCCGUUCAUGACUUCAUGAAUGUGUGCUUUGCAUUGUCUGAGCCAUUUCUAAAACAUCAGUUUCCAGUUGUGCCAAAAUAGAAGAGCUUAUCCAUGUGUCAUAGUGAAUUCAGCUUGGUGAUUAGAAUGGCCAUGUACAUUCUGUUACUGGGAUAUGGAUCUUCCUUUACCAGUGCUACCCAAUUUUGCUAUGUUUCUUCUUUAAUAGCCUAAUGAUACACUUACCCUCUCCCUCGGUUAUGAGGUCUUGGAGUCACGUUUCCAAUUUGUUACCUUGUGGAGAUUGCAUUUGACAUAAACCAAGACAACCUGCCUAAAAGCUUUGUUUUAUUGUGUCUUAUCAGUUGUUGAAUAUAUUCUUAAAUUAUAUUUCUCCAGGUUGAAUUGCAAACAUAUUUA